This 253-nucleotide ribosomal RNA is filed under the name uncultured bacterium. RNAcentral's name for it is "partial 16S ribosomal RNA". It matches the Rfam family "Bacterial small subunit ribosomal RNA", at positions 524 to 776 of the family's 1533-position model. The record is from RNAcentral.
UACGAAGGGGGCGAGUGUUGUUCGGAAUCACUGGGCGUAAAGCGCACGUAGGCGGAUUGCUAAGUCAGGGGUGAAAUCCUGGAGCUCAACUCCAGAACUGCCUUUGAUACUGGUGAUCUUGAGUCCGGGAGAGGUGAGUGGAACUGCGAGUGUAGAGGUGAAAUUCGUAGAUAUUCGCAAGAACACCAGUGGCGAAGGCGGCUCACUGGCCCGGUACUGACGCUGAGGUGCGAAAGCGUGGGGAGCAAACAGG